ACAAAGUGGAUGGAUGGGUAGGACACGUGAAGCUUUGAGAUGACAAUAGAGAAGAUUUUUGGGUGAGUUGGUGCACGAAAGUGUCACCACACUGCGGCACGAAUGCUUUU
This 110-nucleotide non-coding RNA is filed under the name Percolomonas cosmopolitus. Lineage: Eukaryota; Heterolobosea; Eutetramitea; Percolomonadida; Percolomonadidae. The record is from RNAcentral.